This 317-nucleotide ribosomal RNA is filed under the name uncultured Lactobacillus sp. RNAcentral's name for it is "bacterial SSU rRNA". It matches the Rfam family "Bacterial small subunit ribosomal RNA", at positions 225 to 525 of the family's 1533-position model. The record is from RNAcentral. Lineage: Bacteria; Bacillati; Bacillota; Bacilli; Lactobacillales; Lactobacillaceae.
GGGCCCCGCCGGUGCAUUAGUCUAGUUGGUAAGGUAAAGGACGUUACCAAGGGCGAUGAUGCAUAGCCCGAGUUGAGAGACUGAUCGGCCACAUUGGGGACUGAGACACGGCCCAAACUCCUACGGGAGGCAGCAGUAGGGAAUCUUCCACAAUGGACGCAAGUCUGAUGGAGCAAACGCCGCGUGAGUGAAGAAGGUUUUCGGAUCGUAAAGCUCUGUUGUUGGUGAAGAAGGAUAGAGGUAGUAACUGGCCCUUUAUUUGACGGUAAUCAACCAGAAAGUCACGGGCUAACUACGUGCCAGCAGCCGCGGUAAAU